UACGAAGGGGGCUAGCGUUGCUCGGAAUCACUGGGCGUAAAGCGCACGUAGGCGGAUUGUUAAGUCAGGGGUGAAAUCCUGGAGCUCAACUCCAGAACUGCCUUUGAUACUGGCGAUCUCGAGUCCGGGAGAGGUGAGUGGAACUGCGAGUGUAGAGGUGAAAUUCGUAGAUAUUCGCAAGAACACCAGUGGCGAAGGCGGCUCACUGGCCCGGUACUGACGCUGAGGUGCGAAAGCGUGGGGAGCAACCAGG
RNAcentral lists this ribosomal RNA (253 nucleotides) under uncultured bacterium. RNAcentral describes it as "partial 16S ribosomal RNA". It matches the Rfam family "Bacterial small subunit ribosomal RNA", at positions 524 to 776 of the family's 1533-position model. The record is from RNAcentral.